GCUGAUAUUAUAAUUCUCAUACACGAUUUAGUAGGGAUUAAAUUUAUAUAAAUUAGUGAAUAGUUAUAGUUAUUUAAACUAAGUCUGGAAAAUUAUGUGCCAGCAUCAGCGGUCAUACAUAAGGGCUAAGCUUUUUUUUACUACAAUACUUAAAAUUGAAAUAACUUUCAACAAGAAAUUAUUUAUGGUGAAAUAAAAUAAUUUUAAUAUUUUAAAUUGGACGUUAAUAAGCUACUAAAUAAACCAGGAUUUGAUACCCUGUUAUUGUAGCUUACAAAAAUUGUAGAAAACUACCUUAUUAUUAGGGAAAUUUAAAAAUCAUGACAGUUAGAAUUUCUUAUCAGAUGAAUAUGUCUUUUAAUAUGAUACUCCCCAAAAAAUCUGACUUAAACUUGAAUAUUUUACACUCUUCCCACCGCCGUUUUGGGUAUAAUAAAUUUUUACUAGUAAUUGGACUAACUUAAUGUUAGACUAAAUUAAUCAGGUAAAGGUGAAGGUUAUGUUUAAGGUGAGAUGUAUUACAUUUUAAUUAAAAGUGGAAUAAUUAUUGAAAAUAGUUAUGAAAAUGAAUUUGAAAGUAAUAAAUUUUAAUAAUAAAUUUAUGAAUAUGAACUUUCUUUUGUACAGAUCGCCCGUCGCCCCCAAGCCAUUCUCGGGGUAAGUCGAAACACAGUAGAAGUACUGGAAAGUGUUUCUAUAUAUUAUUUA
RNAcentral lists this ribosomal RNA (708 nucleotides) under Franciscoloa pallida. RNAcentral describes it as "12S ribosomal RNA". Lineage: Eukaryota; Metazoa; Arthropoda; Insecta; Psocodea; Menoponidae. The record is from RNAcentral.